UGGAUGUCUGAUCCAGCUGCUGUGAUGGACUCCUGUGCCUGAAAGCAUUAUUUCCAAGUCAAUUAUACAGGCUUUUCUGUGGCUGCUUAGUUAGGUUACAGCUUUGUUCUAAUGAAGUCAAGGUCUCAGGCUCCAGCUCCAUCCAUGAGGAGUCUGCCCUGCAGCCUGGAUUACGCUUUUCAAAUAUGGAAGGAAAAUAAACUACUUAGAUAUGAAGAAAAUCUCAGUGUGUUGGAUGUGGGGAGGUCUCAGGUUUCACCUGUCUUCUUUCUUUCGUGGUUCAAGGUCCUGUUUGAGUGACAGGUACUCAGCAAACGCAUUCUUGAAGGCGUCUGGGCAACACGAUUUUGGGAAUGAAUUUGAGUACUGAGGACACCAACAGGGCAUGCUACAAGGUGGCUGUGUUGUCUAGUUGGUGUACUUAGGCUAAAUGCCUCCAACUGAGUGGCAAGAAGAGUCUGGUGUUUCCUAAAAAUUAGGAGGGGAAUCUCAACAUCAAGACCCAGAAGAGGUAACAAGACCUCAGAAGACAAUGGCUACUUAUCUACGCGGGAAGGAUGAAGAGCUAUCAGCUAUUGUCUGCUUCUGACCAUGAUGAUAAUGGACUAAGUCUCUGAAACUUGGGUAAAGAGAGGGUGAGUCCCAAAGCAGGAAAGGCUAAGAGAAGAUGUGCACUGCUCAGCCGAGAACCAUCUGAAAACAGCACGGCACGUUUGAAGCAUGUGUCUGGGUUUCUCUGCUCCCCAAAUGCCUCACCUCUGUUGACUUCCAGGUAGAAUUCCUGCUACUGAAUAAUAACAAAGAAUAAGCUUGCAUAUUAUAAAGUGCAAGAGUGGGCUUCCAGGAAGCAUCAGAAUGCACAGGCUGCCUUUAUCUUUUCUCGUUAUCUUUUUUGAUAAUAAAGAAGUGGAGAAAAACA
Molecule: long non-coding RNA, 919 nt
Organism: Mus musculus (house mouse)
Lineage: Eukaryota; Metazoa; Chordata; Mammalia; Rodentia; Muridae
Product: predicted gene, 39886
Exons: 4
Source: RefSeq, a predicted model, not a curated record